This 253-nucleotide ribosomal RNA is filed under the name uncultured bacterium. RNAcentral describes it as "partial 16S ribosomal RNA". It matches the Rfam family "Bacterial small subunit ribosomal RNA", at positions 524 to 776 of the family's 1533-position model. The record is from RNAcentral.
UACGUAGGGCGCAAGCGUUAUCCGGAAUUAUUGGGCGUAAAGAGCUCGUAGGCGGUUUGUCGCGUCUGCCGUGAAAGUCCGGGGCUCAACUCCGGAUCUGCGGUGGGUACGGGCAGACUAGAGUGAUGUAGGGGAGACUGGAAUUCCUGGUGUAGCGGUGAAAUGCGCAGAUAUCAGGAGGAACACCGAUGGCGAAGGCAGGUCUCUGGGCACUAACUGACGCUGAGGAGCGAAAGCAUGGGGAGCGAACAGG